Molecule: ribosomal RNA, 435 nt
Filed under: uncultured bacterium
Lineage: Bacteria
Description: partial 16S ribosomal RNA
Rfam family: Bacterial small subunit ribosomal RNA
Source: RNAcentral
AGCGAACGCUGGCGGCAGGCUUAACACAUGCAAGUCGAGCGGGCACUUUCGGGUGUCAGCGGCGGACGGGUGCGUAACGCGUGGGAACGUGCCCUCUGGUUCGGAAUAACUCAGGGAAACUUGAGCUAAUACCGGAUACGCCCUUUUGGGGAAAGGCUUGCUGCCGGAGGAUCGGCCCGCGUCUGAUUCGCUAAUUGGUGAGGUAACGGCUCACCAAGGCGACGAUCAGUAGCUGGUCUGAGAGGAUGAUCAGCCACACUGGGACUGAGACACGGCCCAGACUCCUACGGGAGGCAGCAGUGGGGAAUAUUGGACAAUGGGCGCAAGCCUGAUCCAGCCAUGCCGCGUGAGUGAUCAAGGCCUUAGGGUUGUAAAGCUCUUUUAUCCGGGACGAUAAUGACGGUACCGGAGGAAUAAGCCCCGGCUAACUUCGUG